RNAcentral lists this transfer RNA (84 nucleotides) under Actinomycetota bacterium. Its description in RNAcentral is "tRNA-Leu". It matches the Rfam family "tRNA". From Rfam's summary of the family: Transfer RNA (tRNA) molecules are approximately 80 nucleotides in length. Their secondary structure includes four short double-helical elements and three loops (D, anti-codon, and T loops). Further hydrogen bonds mediate the characteristic L-shaped molecular structure. tRNAs have two regions of fundamental functional importance: the anti-codon, which is responsible for specific mRNA codon recognition, and the 3' end, to which the tRNAs corresponding amino acid is attached (by aminoacyl-tRNA synthetases). tRNAs cope with the degeneracy of the genetic code in two manners: having more than one tRNA (with a specific anti-codon) for a particular amino acid; and 'wobble' base-pairing, i.e. permitting non-standard base-pairing at the 3rd anti-codon position. Lineage: Bacteria; Bacillati; Actinomycetota. RNAcentral also lists the same sequence under 1 other name. The record is from RNAcentral.
GCGGCGGUGUCCAAACUGGUAAAGGAGAUGGAUUCAAAAUCCAUUGCUCGAAAGGGCUUGUGGGUUCGAUUCCCACCCGCCGCA